UGGCUCAGCUGGUAGAGCAUGGCACUUGCGAAGCCAGGGCUGUGGGGUUCGAUUCCCAC
This 59-nucleotide transfer RNA is filed under the name Salmo salar (Atlantic salmon). It matches the Rfam family "tRNA", at positions 8 to 63 of the family's 71-position model. From Rfam's summary of the family: Transfer RNA (tRNA) molecules are approximately 80 nucleotides in length. Lineage: Eukaryota; Metazoa; Chordata; Actinopteri; Salmoniformes; Salmonidae. The record is from Rfam by way of RNAcentral.